RNAcentral lists this long non-coding RNA (904 nucleotides) under Vulpes vulpes (red fox). RNAcentral describes it as "lncRNA (ENSVVUG00000008303.1)". Lineage: Eukaryota; Metazoa; Chordata; Mammalia; Carnivora; Canidae. The record is from RNAcentral.
CGCAGCUGAUCAUAUCUUCAUUCAAAGAAUCUGUCUCUAGGUAAGGUCACAACGAGGUUCUUGGUGACAUGGAUUUUGCGGGGACUUAUCCAACCCAUCUGAAGAAAGUUUGGGAAGGGUAAAUGUACCAGUCGUUCCAAUAGAUGACCUCCACAGGGAGGCCCAGCAGUCCCAGACUCUUCCUUUAUAGGAAAAAGUGACUUCUCACUUUGCUCUGUCCCCCCUGAAAUGCCUUCUUCCGAAUGUGCCUGGAACGUUGUCUCCCCCUAGCCCUCAAUUGCCACCCACACUUCCUGGAGCCCUGGAGAGCUGGGGGUCAGGUAGGAGAAGGAGGCAAGAGGAUUGUCAUCGCUAAGCCUGCGUCCCUUGUCCCAUGUGGGGGUGCGGUACUGCAAGAUGAGGUUGGCUCUGAGGCACCCACUGCAAGGCCCUGGCUUUCUGAGGACACUGACUGUGGGAAAACCUACCCCGCUGCACCCCGGGCCAUCAGAGUAAUGAUCCCUGCAUUUACUUAAAGUAUUAAGAACAUGAACCCAACCCUGGUGUUUGGUUUGAACCUCUUCCUUCUCAAUCCAGCCCCACGUAGGAGAAAGAGGCAAGAUUAACAUUUGCUAUGAUUUCAUUCAUCUCUUGAGUCCGUGUUUCUCUAUAAAUGGCCGAUGCAUUAAAGAAAAGACUCCUUGUACCCUUCUCAGGGCCGAACAUAGCCUUUCAUCAGAGGAAUACAGGGGGCGAGGAAGGCAAGAAGGAAAUGGGGAGAGCAGGCGGGGAGCACUGGGCAAACUUACAGGCCCGCUCAGGGUCUGCUCAAGGCCACGGGGAAGGCCACAGUGGGCAGGGUCCCUGGGGCACAGGACAGGCCUCCUGAUGGGGGCAGACAGGGAGUCCGGGCGCUGGGGAGGCA